UGCCCCACAGUUCCCCGUCCGGGAACAAGGAGCUGGUAUCAGGCACACCCCUAUGUGGCCCAUGACACCUUGCUUAGCCACACCCUCAAGGGAACUCAGCAGUGAUAGACAUUAAGCCAUAAGUGAAAACUUGACUUAAUUAAAGCUAAGAGGGCCGGUAAAACUCGUGCCAGCCACCGCGGUUAUACGAGAGGCCCAAGUUGACAAACACCGGCGUAAAGCGUGGUUAAGUUAAUUCUCAUACUAAAGCCAAACACCUUCAAAGCUGUUAUACGCAACCGAAGGCAGGAAGUUCAACCACGAAAGUGGCUUUAAUUUGAUCUGAACCCACGAAAGCUAAGGAACAAACUGGGAUUAGAUACCCCACUAUGCCUAGCCCUAAACAUUGAUAGUACUAUACACCCACUAUCCGCCCGGGAACUACGAGCAAUAGCUUAAAACCCAAAGGACUUGGCGGUGCUUUAGAUCCACCUAGAGGAGCCUGUUCUAGAACCGAUAACCCCCGUUCAACCUCACCCUUCCUUGUUUAACCCGCCUAUAUACCGCCGUCGUCAGCUUACCCUGUGAGGGUCUAAUAGUAAGCAAAAAUGGUACAACCCAAAACGUCAGGUCGAGGUGUAGCGUAUGGAGGGGGAAGAAAUGGGCUACAUUCGCUACCCCAGCGAACACGAAUGAUUUGCUGAAACGCACAUCUGAAGGAGGAUUUAGCAGUAAGCAG
Molecule: ribosomal RNA, 718 nt
Filed under: Icelinus filamentosus (threadfin sculpin)
Lineage: Eukaryota; Metazoa; Chordata; Actinopteri; Perciformes; Cottidae
Description: partial 12S ribosomal RNA
Rfam family: Bacterial small subunit ribosomal RNA
Source: RNAcentral